CAGAAGGUAGCUAAACAGGAAAGCAUCUCCCUUACACCGAGAAGACGCCAGUGCAAAUCCGGCCCCUCUGA
Molecule: transfer RNA, 71 nt
Filed under: Dallia pectoralis (Alaska blackfish)
Lineage: Eukaryota; Metazoa; Chordata; Actinopteri; Esociformes; Umbridae
Description: tRNA-Val
Rfam family: tRNA
About the family: Transfer RNA (tRNA) molecules are approximately 80 nucleotides in length.
Source: RNAcentral